CCUACGGGGCGCAGCAGUGGGGAAUAUUGGGCAAUGGGCGCAAGCCUGACCCAGCAACGCCGCGUGAAGGAAGAAGGCUUUCGGGUUGUAAACUUCUUUUCUCAGGGACGAAGCAAGUGACGGUACCUGAGGAAUAAGCCACGGCUAACUACGUGCCAGCAGCCGCGGUAAUACGUAGGUGGCAAGCGUUAUCCGGAUUUACUGGGUGUAAAGGGCGUGUAGGCGGGGACGCAAGUCCGAUGUGAAAACCACGGGCUCAACCUGUUGCCUGCCUUUUAUACUGUGUUUCUUGAGUUCUUGAGAGG
Molecule: ribosomal RNA, 305 nt
Filed under: uncultured bacterium
Lineage: Bacteria
Description: bacterial SSU rRNA
Rfam family: Bacterial small subunit ribosomal RNA
Source: RNAcentral